Molecule: ribosomal RNA, 253 nt
Filed under: uncultured bacterium
Lineage: Bacteria
Description: partial 16S ribosomal RNA
Rfam family: Bacterial small subunit ribosomal RNA
Source: RNAcentral
UACGAAGGGGGCUAGCGUUGCUCGGAUUUACUGGGCGUAAAGGGAGCGUAGGCGGAACAGCAAGUCAGGGGUGAAAGCCCGGGGCUCAACCUCGGAAUUGCCCUUGAGACUGUUGAUCUAGAGUUUGGGAGAGGUGUGUGGAACUCCGAGUGUAGAGGUGAAAUUCGUAGAUAUUCGGAAGAACACCAGUGGCGAAGGCGACACACUGGCCCAAUACUGACGCUGAGGCUCGAAAGCGUGGGGAGCAAACAGG